This 843-nucleotide ribosomal RNA is filed under the name Apiospora rasikravindrae. RNAcentral describes it as "eukaryotic LSU rRNA". It matches the Rfam family "Eukaryotic large subunit ribosomal RNA", at positions 67 to 936 of the family's 3401-position model. Lineage: Eukaryota; Fungi; Ascomycota; Sordariomycetes; Amphisphaeriales; Apiosporaceae. The record is from RNAcentral.
AACAGGGAUUCCCCUAGUAACGGCGAGUGAAGCGGGAACAGCUCAAAUUUGAAAUCUGGCCCUUGGGUCCGAGUUGUAAUUUGCAGAGGAUGCUUUUGGUGCGGUGCCUUCCGAGUUCCCUGGAACGGGACGCCUUAGAGGGUGAGAGCCCCGUACGGUUGGCCACCAAGCCUGUGUAAAGCUCCUUCGACGAGUCGAGUAGUUUGGGAAUGCUGCUCAAAAUGGGAGGUAUAUUUCUUCUAAAGCUAAAUACUGGCCAGAGACCGAUAGCGCACAAGUAGAGUGAUCGAAAGAUGAAAAGCACUUUGAAAAGAGGGUUAAAUAGCACGUGAAAUUGUUGAAAGGGAAGGAUUUAUGACCAGACUUUUUCUAGGGGGAUCAUCCGGUGUUCUCACCGGUGCACUUCCCCUAGUUGAGGCCAGCAUCGGUUUCUGUCGGGGGAUAAAAGCUUCAGGAAUGUGGCUCCCUCCGGGGAGUGUUAUAGCCUGUUGCAUAAUACCCUGACGGGGACCGAGGUUCGCGCAUUGCAAGGAUGCUGGCGUAAUGGUUAUUAAUCACCCGUCUUGAAACACGGACCAAGGAGUCGAACAUUUGUGCGAGUGUUUGGGUGUUAAACCCUCACGCGUAAUGAAAGUGAACGGAGGUGAGAGCCCUUCGGGGUGCAUCAUCGACCGAUCCUGAUGUCUUCGGAUGGAUUUGAGUAAGAGCAUAACUGUUCGGACCCGAAAGAUGGUGAACUAUGCGUGGAUAGGGUGAAGCCAGAGGAAACUCUGGUGGAGGCUCGCAGCGGUUCUGACGUGCAAAUCGAUCGUCAAAUCUGCGCAUGGGGGCGAAAGACUAAUC